AGAUUGAACGCUGGCGGCAUGCCUAACACAUGCAAGUCGAACGGGAGUAGCAAUACUCUAGUGGCGGACGGGUGAGGAAUACGUAGGAAUUUGCCCUUAAGUGGGGGAUAACCCGGGGAAACCCGGAUUAAUACCGCAUGACCUCGAAAGAGCAAAGUGGGGGAUCGCAAGACCUCACGCUUUUGGAGAAGCCUACGUCGGAUUAGCUAGUUGGUGAGGUAAUGGCUCACCAAGGCGACGAUCCGUAACUGGUCUGAGAGGAUGAUCAGUCACACCGGAACUGAGACACGGUCCGGACUCCUACGGGAGGCAGCAGUGGGGAAUAUGGACAAUGGGCGCAAGCCUGAUCCAAGCAAUGCCGCGUGUGUGAAGAAGGCCUUGGUUGUAAAGCACUUUAAGUUGGGAAGAAAAACUCGACGUACUAACACCGAGUGAGUCGUUGACGGUAACCGACAGAAUAAGACACCGGCUAC
RNAcentral lists this ribosomal RNA (473 nucleotides) under uncultured soil bacterium. RNAcentral's name for it is "bacterial SSU rRNA". It matches the Rfam family "Bacterial small subunit ribosomal RNA", at positions 26 to 500 of the family's 1533-position model. The record is from RNAcentral.